AUGUACAGACAGGGAUUCUCUUCAUUGAAUAAUCCACUACAAGCACUACUGCUCUCUGUGGACCCCCCCACAGAAGAGGGUAGAGAGGAGGGGGGGUUGGGAAAUAGCAAGACGAGAGGAGGUCAGAAGGAAAGGAGGGAAGAGCAAAAAGAGGGGAAAAGAGGGGAGAGGAAAAGAGGGAAGAGGAAAGGAGAGGGGAGAGGAAAAGAGGGAAGAGGAAAGGAAGGCAGAGGGAAAAGAGAAGGAAAGGAAAGGAGGGCCGAGGGAAAAGAGGGAAGAGGAAAGGAGGGCCGAGGGAAAAGAGGGAAGAUGGAAACGAGAGGAGAGGAAAGGAGGGCCGAGGGAAAAGAGGGAAGAGGAAAGGAGGACCGAGGGAAAAGAGAAGGAGAGGAAAGGAAGGCAGAUGGAAAGGAGGGCAGAGGGAAAAGAGAGGAGAGGAAAGGAGGGCCGAGGGAAAGAGGAAAAGAGGGCAGAGGGAAAAGAGAGGAGAGGAAAGGAAGGCAGAUGGAAAGGAGGGCAGAGGGAAAAGAGAAGGAGAGGAAAGGAAGGCAGAAGGAAAGGAGGGCAGAGGGAAAAGAGAGGAGAGGAAAGGAAGGCAGAUGGAAAGGAGGGCAGAGGGAAAAGAGAGGAGAGGAAAGGAAGGCAGAUGGAAAAGAGAGGAGAGGAAAGGAAGGCAGAAGGAAAGGAGGGCAGAGGGAAAAGAGAGGAGAGGAGGGCAGAGGGAAAAGAGAGGAGAGGAGGGCAGGGCAGAGGGAAAAGAGAGGAGAGGAGGGCAGGGCAGAGGGAAAAGAGAGGAGAGGAGGGCAGAGGGAAAAGAGAGGAGAGGAGGGCAGAGGGAAAAGAGAGGAGAGGAGGGCAGAGGGAAAAGAGAGGAGAGGAGGGCAGAGGGAAAAGAGAAGAGAGGAGAGGAGGGCAGAGGGAAACGAGAGGAGAGGAAGGCAGAUGGAAAAGAGAGGAGAGGAAGGCAGAUGGAAAAGAGAGGAGGGCAGAGGGAAAAGAGAGGAGAGGAGGGCAGAGGGAAAAGAGAGGAGAGUGAUUGUUUACUCUACACUCUGCCAGUAA
Molecule: long non-coding RNA, 1062 nt
Filed under: Oncorhynchus kisutch (coho salmon)
Lineage: Eukaryota; Metazoa; Chordata; Actinopteri; Salmoniformes; Salmonidae
Description: lncRNA (ENSOKIG00005029760.1)
Source: RNAcentral